Setaria italica (foxtail millet) is the source of this 730-nucleotide long non-coding RNA. RefSeq lists it as uncharacterized. The record is from RefSeq and is a predicted model, not a curated record. NCBI's taxonomy places the organism in Eukaryota, Viridiplantae, Streptophyta, Magnoliopsida, Poales, Poaceae. The transcript has 2 exons.
UACAGAGAUCAAAACAUCAGAGCAUUGGAAGAGCUAAAAGCUUCAGUCCAGCUAUCUAACAAGAGUGUGAGUGUCUACACAUAAAACAUCAGCACUAGUUCGCUUUCCAAGAGAAGUCCAAUCCAAAGAUGUCUGGGUCAAGAAGCUCUUCUUCCCACAACGUUAACAUGGCCUCCACGUGGAGCAAAAGAGAGGAAAAGCUGUUUGAAGAGGCCCUGGCCUACUAUGGCGAGGGCACACCCGACCGCUGGCACAAGGUGUCCCGCGCCAUGGGUGGCAGCAAGACGGCCGACGAGGUGCGCCGUCAAUACGAGAUACUAGAAGAUGACGUCAAGCUCAUUGAGUCUGGCAGGGUUCCGUUCCCCAGGUACAACACACAGGGAGCUUGGAACUAAGGAGUGAAGGAUGUCAAGAACCACCAGACCGGAACUACUGCUACAUGUUAGCAAUUGAAGGAAACAUGCUGAUAUAUACUGUGGUUGUAUUAUGAAGUUAAUGAUUGCUUGGUUAACAAUAAAAGGAGCUACCAACGAUACUUAUGUGUGUUAUGUGUAUUAGUGUAUAUAACUUUAAGUUGUAAGCAAAUCAACCCUUAUGAUAAAGAAAUUAGGGUGCACUAUCUGCCCAUAGUGUGUAGUCAUGGUCCCCCAGGAAUACUUGUGCAGUAAACAGUGAUGCAAAGCUCUUGUAAUGGUUUGCUAAUUAUAAAAUGGUGCUUGGUUGAAAUUAA